Molecule: ribosomal RNA, 514 nt
Filed under: uncultured bacterium
Lineage: Bacteria
Description: bacterial SSU rRNA
Rfam family: Bacterial small subunit ribosomal RNA
Source: RNAcentral
GAUCUGGCUCAGAACGAACGCUGGCGGCGCGUCUUAAGCAUGCAAGUCGAACGGCAAGAGGUAGCAAUACCUCCUAGAGUGGCGGACUGGUGAGUAACACGUGGGUGACAUACCCUUCAGAUGGGGAUAGCUAUUAGAAAUAGUAGAUAAUACCGAAUACGAGCACAGGGGUUAGAGAUCUGUGAGGAAAGGAGCUAAGGCUCCGCUGAAGGAAUGGCCUGCGGCCCAUUAGCUAGUUGGUGAGGUAAGAGCCCACCAAGGCGAUGAUGGGUAUCCGGCCUUAGAGGGUGAACGGACACAUUGGGACUGAGAUACGGCCCAGACUCCUACGGGAGGCAGCAGCUAAGAAUAUUCCGCAAUGGACGAAAGUCUGACGGAGCGACGCCGCGUGGAUGAAGAAGGCCGGAAGGUUGUAAAAUCCUUUUGAAACUGAAGAAUAAGCGUUGUAGGGAAUGACAGCGUGGUGACAGUUAGGUUUUGAAUAAGCAACGGCUAAUUACGUGCCAGCAGCCGC